GGCACUGUAGCCAAGUGGUUACGGCGUCACGUUUAGGUCAAGCACCAAUCCGUGAUGGGAAACCUCGCGAGUUCGAAUCUCGUCAGUGUCA
This 91-nucleotide transfer RNA is filed under the name Suillus bovinus. Its description in RNAcentral is "tRNA-Leu". It matches the Rfam family "tRNA". Rfam says of the family: Transfer RNA (tRNA) molecules are approximately 80 nucleotides in length. Their secondary structure includes four short double-helical elements and three loops (D, anti-codon, and T loops). RNAcentral also lists the same sequence under 4 other names. The record is from RNAcentral. Lineage: Eukaryota; Fungi; Basidiomycota; Agaricomycetes; Boletales; Suillaceae.